RNAcentral lists this long non-coding RNA (1281 nucleotides) under Homo sapiens (human). Its description in RNAcentral is "HSALNT0136819". Lineage: Eukaryota; Metazoa; Chordata; Mammalia; Primates; Hominidae. The record is from RNAcentral.
UAUUGAUCUUAAUAAAUGUGCACAAUGCUAUGUGGGAUCCAAAGAAAUCCACCAACCAGUUUUCUCUAGACUUGGGUUCUACCAUUUUGGCCAUAAUUAUACUUCAAGAUGUAUGUAAGAAAAAAGAAAAAAAAAUGCUGUCGAAGUUGGUAAAUUAAAUAUAACCACUGUCUCAAGGUAAUGCUAGCUUUCCAACACAUGCUUAUAUUCUAUCAGCACUUUUACUGGUCCCGAGCCCAUCCAUUCUCCUUUGCUUCUUUAAUGUGAAAUGUAACAUAUAAUUUGUCCUUUUUUUUUUUUUGAGACUGGGUCUCACUAUGUCCCCAAGUCUGGAGAGUAGUGACACUGUAACCUGGAACUCCUGGGCUCAAGCUGGAACUACAGAAGCUGACAGCAUGGCUGCCUUGUCAGAGCGCUUUCAUGCCAAGGAGCCAGGUGAGUGGGGAGGAAGAGUUUAAAGUCUGCUGGUUGCUCAGGCUACACUCUGGAGAUUCUGCACAGCCUCUCCCGGCCCAUUCAAGAGCAAGGCAAAAUCCAGCCAUUCAGGGACUGAGGAGUCCCUCACUCCCAGGGAAGCCAGUUAUUCUCCAAACUAGCAGUCAACCAGUCCCUCUCUGGUAAGUGCUUUUGUGCAUCUGCCCUAAAUGUCCUUGCUUGCUGGAUUGUGCAUCAGUAAUUAUAGUAAUUCCUGAAGAUGAAAAGCUCCUGGCCAUCUUGCUCUCCCUGCAGACUCAUGUCUUUAUCCAUAACCUGAAACUGUAAGACAGUCAUCUGAACUAUGAGCAACACUUUCAUGUAAAGAGUGUGUUCAAGCCCUUUAAAAUGGUUUUUUGAUUCAGUUCUCAGAAGUUGAAGAAUGGAAAGUGCCUACAGCUACAGUCCAAACCAGAAUUUUCAAGUACAGUGAAGGCGGGAAUGAUGGAAGUAGAGAGGCAUCCACUUGUCCUCCAGACCCACUUGAGGGGGAUCAUAUCGGAGCGGGAGAGUCAGUUCAGCCAAUGUUUGUGAAAAUAAUCCUUGGAGGGGUCUGAUCUUCCCACCAUGCUUCUUCUAAGGUAGAUGAGGAGCAUCCCCACACUGGGGAAGAGAAUAUAAUUCCCAGAAACAGUCUUAGUAAACACUAAUGUGAGGUAAUGAUAGGGGCUUGGGUAGGGGUAGAGGAUCCUCCUGGACUUGACAGAAAACAAACCAAACAGAGAGAGAAAAAGAAAAGAUCCCUUGGAACUUGAAUAUGUCUUUGCAAAAGGAUUAUUUAUUUAUUUUUUUAAAAAUUGCCUUAAG